GUCUAAACAUGAAACGUGGUCUAAACAUGAAACGAGAAACGAGGUCUAAACAUGAAAUGAGAAACGAGGUCUAAACAUGAACGAGGUCUAAACAUGAAACGAGAAAUGACGUCUAAACAUGAAACGAGAAACGAGGUCUAAACAUGAACAAGGUCUAAACAUGAAACGAGGUCUAAACAAGAAACAAGGUCUAAACAUGAAACAAGGUCUAAACAUGAAACGAGAAACGAGGUCUAAACAUGAAACGAGAAACGAGGUCUAAACAUGAAAUAAAGUCUAAACAUGAAACAAGAAACAAGGUCUAAACAUGAAACGAGGUCUAAACAGUAAACGAGAAACGAGGUCUGAACAUGAAACAAGAAACGAGGUCUAAACAUGAAAUGAAGUCUAAACAUGAAACGAGAAAUGAGGUCUAAACAUGAAACGAGGUCUAAACAGGAAAUGAGAAACGAGGUCUAAACAUGAAAUGAGAAACAAAGUCUAAACAUGAAAUGAGAAACGAGGUCUAAACAUGAAACAAGGUCUACACAUGAAAUGAGAAACGAGGUCUAAACAUGAAACAAGAAACGAGGUCUAAACUUGAAACAACGUCUAAACAUGAAAUGAGAAAUGAGGUCAUAAACAUGAAACAUGAAACGAGGUCUAAACAUGAAAUGAGAAACGAGGUCUAAACAUGAAAGGAGAAACGAGGUUUAAACAUGAACGAGGUCUAAACAAGAAACGAGGUCUAAACAUGAAACAAGGUCUAAACAUGAAACGAGAAACGAAGUGUAAACAUAAAACGAG
Molecule: long non-coding RNA, 786 nt
Organism: Ictalurus punctatus (channel catfish)
Lineage: Eukaryota; Metazoa; Chordata; Actinopteri; Siluriformes; Ictaluridae
Source: Ensembl